UCAUCCUUCCAUUUCAUCCGUUGUAAGAAACCUAAGAAUACUGAAAAAUGUUACCUCUGCCAAUGCUAAAUGGAAACUUCAUCAUGAACAAGCUAUGGGUGAUCAAUUCCAUGCCUUGGGGUGCUAUUGAAUCUACACAAAACAUCUUGUAGAAUUGUGCUCUCUGGAGAAUGGGAACUACAACUCUUUUAUUUUUUGCUCUGUUGAGGGUUCUAGGCCCCUGAAUAUAAUUACAUUUCAGAUUACGGUCAGUAUGGAGAUAAUGGGAUGCUCGGAACCACAAGUAAUCGGAUUGUAAUUUCCUAUUAAUUUCAUAACUCCCAAAUAACUCUCCCAUUUUGCUGCGAGUCCUUUUUGUAGACUAUAAUAGAAUAGGCUAGAUAGUUUUUGCACAGUUUUUAUUGCCUCUAUGGCCUGUACACACUUGCAUGUGAAUAAUUUAAGCUUUACCAUUUCCAG
Molecule: long non-coding RNA, 459 nt
Organism: Capsicum annuum
Lineage: Eukaryota; Viridiplantae; Streptophyta; Magnoliopsida; Solanales; Solanaceae
Exons: 3
Source: RefSeq, a predicted model, not a curated record